RNAcentral lists this ribosomal RNA (482 nucleotides) under uncultured bacterium. RNAcentral's name for it is "bacterial SSU rRNA". It matches the Rfam family "Bacterial small subunit ribosomal RNA", at positions 335 to 796 of the family's 1533-position model. The record is from RNAcentral.
ACUCCUACGGGAGGCAGCAGUAGGGAAUCUUCCACAAUGGACGAAAGUCUGAUGGGGCGAACGCCGCGUGAGUGAAGAAGGGUUUCGGCUCGUAAAAACUCUGUUGUUAAAAGAAAGAAACAUAUCUGAGAGUAACUGUUCAGGUAUUGACGGUAUUUAACCAGAAAGCCACGGCUAACUACGUGCCAGCAGCCGCGGUAAUACGUAGGUGGCAAGCGUUGUCCGGAUUUAUUGGGGCGUAAAGCGAGCGCAGGCGGUUUUUUAAAGUUCUGAUGUGAAAGCCUUCGGCUCAACCGAAGAAGUGCAUCGGAAACUGGGGAAACUUGAGUGCAGAAGAGGACAGUGGAACUCCAUGUGUAGCGGUGAAAUGCGUAGAUAUAUGGAAGAACACCAGUGGCGAAGGCGGCUGUCUGGUCUGUAACUGACGCUGAGGCUCGAAAGUAUGGGUAGCAAACAGGAUUAGAUACCCUGGUAGGAUAGCC